This is a long non-coding RNA of Bos taurus (domestic cattle), 1210 nucleotides long. The record is from Ensembl. NCBI's taxonomy places the organism in Eukaryota, Metazoa, Chordata, Mammalia, Artiodactyla, Bovidae.
CAUUUAAACUAGUCUAAAAAUGUGAAUGCUUCCAAACUGGGGUUCUAAUGGAAUAUACUACUAUUAGCAUUGAAGCCCAUCUUUUUUGCUUGUAUUGAAUUAUAUUUCUAAAGCUAAAUUUUUGUCAAAGGCUGUGCACACAUUUAUGGCUUUUGCUCUGUACUGCUUUCCAAAAGGAUUACACCAGUUUUAAUACAUCAAAGAAUUAUUCAAACUUUGUUGGCAGGAUUUAGAAAAAUUUUGCUACCUCAGUAGUCAUAAAAUGGUAUUUCAAAUCUGGUUUAAUUUGUACAUUUUGCAUCCUGGUAAGCAUAUUUACUUAUGUACUUAAUUUAUAUUUUUCCAUUCAUUUUGCAAUUAUAUUGCACAUCUGAGUACAUCACUAUUCUAGGGGCUGGACAAGCUAACAAUAGUUAGACAAAAAUCUAAUCAUGGAAAUGGUUGAUACAGCUCUAUUGAAACUACAGUGUAUUAGGUACUAUAUUAAACCAGCAUAAGCUUUUCACACUAACACUGGCAAAUCUUUGGGGUACUUGGCCUUUCUAGGAUAAGAAGCUGGUACAGUCAUGUGAAAGAUAAGCAUGGUGUACCUUCUGCUUAUUUAUUUACUAUUAGCAAUAGUGAGGCGAUUUAUUUAAAGAUUUGGAGUGAGAAAGUAAAUCAGUACAUAAUUAAAACUCAUUUUUAUAGUUACAAAUGAGUUUUUAAAACUAAGACAGUUUUCAAGGAAAUUUCCAGCACUCGUCCCCAGCCUUCGCCCGUGUGGUAUUUUUCCCUAUACUUCCGUGGAAAGACUUGGGAAGCAUUUACAGACUAUUCAAAACGAACUCCUGGGGUGCUGAGGAGUACAUGUGUGACAAUGUUCCUUGUGUUUUCAGCUUUUGGUGAUUACAAAUAAAGCCACUGUAAACAUCUGUUUUCCAAAGUGGCUGUUUCAUUUGCGUUCCUAUCAGCAAUGUAUGAAAGUUAUAUUUGCUCGGCCUCUUCAUUUCCACCAACACUAGUACAGCAUUCCCCCUCCCAUUCUAACAGCUGUUCAAUGGUACCUCCUGAGCUUUUACUUUGCAUUUCUCUAAUGAUUAAUGAUGUGGAGCACCUCUCCAUGCUACUUAUUUGCCAUUUGUAUAUCUUUUUUGGUGAAGUGUCUGCCCUAAUUUCCCAUUUUUUAUUGCUUUUCUCAUUAUUGAGUUUUGAGAAGUAAAUUUAUUAA